RNAcentral lists this ribosomal RNA (499 nucleotides) under uncultured Bacillus sp. RNAcentral's name for it is "bacterial SSU rRNA". It matches the Rfam family "Bacterial small subunit ribosomal RNA", at positions 9 to 489 of the family's 1533-position model. Lineage: Bacteria; Bacillati; Bacillota; Bacilli; Caryophanales; Bacillaceae. The record is from RNAcentral.
GAGUUUGAUCUUGGCUCAGGAUGAACGCUGGCGGCGUGCCUAAUACAUGCAAGUCGAGCGAACUGAUUAGAAGCUUGCUUCUAUGACGUUAGCGGCGGACGGGUGAGUAACACGUGGGCAACCUGCCUGUAAGACUGGGAUAACUUCGGGAAACCGAAGCUAAUACCGGAUAGGAUCUUCUCCUUCAUGGGAGAUGAUUGAAAGAUGGUUUCGGCUAUCACUUACAGAUGGGCCCGCGGUGCAUUAGCUAGUUGGUGAGGUAACGGCUCACCAAGGCAACGAUGCAUAGCCGACCUGAGAGGGUGAUCGGCCACACUGGGACUGAGACACGGCCCAGACUCCUACGGGAGGCAGCAGUAGGGAAUCUUCCGCAAUGGACGAAAGUCUGACGGAGCAACGCCGCGUGAGUGAUGAAGGCUUUCGGGUCGUAAAACUCUGUUGUUAGGGAAGAACAAGUACAAGAGUAACUGCUUGUACCUUGACGGUACCUAACCAGAAA